This 2463-nucleotide ribosomal RNA is filed under the name Shigella sonnei. Its description in RNAcentral is "partial 23S ribosomal RNA". It matches the Rfam family "Bacterial large subunit ribosomal RNA", at positions 398 to 2841 of the family's 2925-position model. Lineage: Bacteria; Pseudomonadati; Pseudomonadota; Gammaproteobacteria; Enterobacterales; Enterobacteriaceae. The record is from RNAcentral.
UGUGAGCUCGAUGAGUAGGGCGGGACACGUGGUAUCCUGUCUGAAUAUGGGGGGCCCAUCCUCCAAGGCUAAAUACUCCUGACUGACCGAUAGUGAACCAGUACCGUGAGGGAAAGGCGAAAAGAACCCCGGCGAGGGGAGUGAAAAAGAACCUGAAACCGUGUACGUACAAGCAGUGGGAGCACGCUUAGGCGUGUGACUGCGUACCUUUUGUAUAAUGGGUCAGCGACUUAUAUUCUGUAGCAAGGUUAACCGAAUAGGGGAGCCGAAGGGAAACCGAGUCUUAACUGGGCGUUAAGUUGCAGGGUAUAGACCCGAAACCCGGUGAUCUAGCCAUGGGCAGGUUGAAGGUUGGGUAACACUAACUGGAGGACCGAACCGACUAAUGUUGAAAAAUUAGCGGAUGACUUGUGGCUGGGGGUGAAAGGCCAAUCAAACCGGGAGAUAGCUGGUUCUCCCCGAAAGCUAUUUAGGUAGCGCCUCGUGAAUUCAUCUCCGGGGGUAGAGCACUGUUUCGGCAAGGGGGUCAUCCCGACUUACCAACCCGAUGCAAACUGCGAAUACCGGAGAAUGUUAUCACGGGAGACACACGGCGGGUGCUAACGUCCGUCGUGAAGAGGGAAACAACCCAGACCGCCAGCUAAGGUCCCAAAGUCAUGGUUAAGUGGGAAACGAUGUGGGAAGGCCCAGACAGCCAGGAUGUUGGCUUAGAAGCAGCCAUCAUUUAAAGAAAGCGUAAUAGCUCACUGGUCGAGUCGGCCUGCGCGGAAGAUGUAACGGGGCUAAACCAUGCACCGAAGCUGCGGCAGCGACGCUUAUGCGUUGUUGGGUAGGGGAGCGUUCUGUAAGCCUGCGAAGGUGUGCUGUGAGGCAUGCUGGAGGUAUCAGAAGUGCGAAUGCUGACAUAAGUAACGAUAAAGCGGGUGAAAAGCCCGCUCGCCGGAAGACCAAGGGUUCCUGUCCAACGUUAAUCGGGGCAGGGUGAGUCGACCCCUAAGGCGAGGCCGAAAGGCGUAGUCGAUGGGAAACAGGUUAAUAUUCCUGUACUUGGUGUUACUGCGAAGGGGGGACGGAGAAGGCUAUGUUGGCCGGGCGACGGUUGUCCCGGUUUAAGCGUGUAGGCUGGUUUUCCAGGCAAAUCCGGAAAAUCAAGGCUGAGGCGUGAUGACGAGGCACUACGGUGCUGAAGCAACAAAUGCCCUGCUUCCAGGAAAAGCCUCUAAGCAUCAGGUAACAUCAAAUCGUACCCCAAACCGACACAGGUGGUCAGGUAGAGAAUACCAAGGCGCUUGAGAGAACUCGGGUGAAGGAACUAGGCAAAAUGGUGCCGUAACUUCGGGAGAAGGCACGCUGAUAUGUAGGUGAAGUCCCUUGCGGAUGGAGCUGAAAUCAGUCGAAGAUACCAGCUGGCUGCAACUGUUUAUUAAAAACACAGCACUGUGCAAACACGAAAGUGGACGUAUACGGUGUGACGCCUGCCCGGUGCCGGAAGGUUAAUUGAUGGGGUCAGCGCAAGCGAAGCUCUUGAUCGAAGCCCCGGUAAACGGCGGCCGUAACUAUAACGGUCCUAAGGUAGCGAAAUUCCUUGUCGGGUAAGUUCCGACCUGCACGAAUGGCGUAAUGAUGGCCAGGCUGUCUCCACCCGAGACUCAGUGAAAUUGAACUCGCUGUGAAGAUGCAGUGUACCCGCGGCAAGACGGAAAGACCCCGUGAACCUUUACUAUAGCUUGACACUGAACAUUGAGCCUUGAUGUGUAGGAUAGGUGGGAGGCUUUGAAGUGUGGACGCCAGUCUGCAUGGAGCCGGCCUUGAAAUACCACCCUUUAAUGUUUGAUGUUCUAACGUGGACCCGUGAUCCGGGUUGCGGACAGUGUCUGGUGGGUAGUUUGACUGGGGCGGUCUCCUCCUAAAGAGUAACGGAGGAGCACGAAGGUUGGCUAAUCCUGGUCGGACAUCAGGAGGUUAGUGCAAUGGCAUAAGCCAGCUUGACUGCGAGCGUGACGGCGCGAGCAGGUGCGAAAGCAGGUCAUAGUGAUCCGGUGGUUCUGAAUGGAAGGGCCAUCGCUCAACGGAUAAAAGGUACUCCGGGGAUAACAGGCUGAUACCGCCCAAGAGUUCAUAUCGACGGCGGUGUUUGGCACCUCGAUGUCGGCUCAUCACAUCCUGGGGCUGAAGUAGGUCCCAAGGGUAUGGCUGUUCGCCAUUUAAAGUGGUACGCGAGCUGGGUUUAGAACGUCGUGAGACAGUUCGGUCCCUAUCUGCCGUGGGCGCUGGAGAACUGAGGGGGGCUGCUCCUAGUACGAGAGGACCGGAGUGGACGCAUCACUGGUGUUCGGGUUGUCAUGCCAAUGGCACUGCCCGGUAGCUAAAUGCGGAAGAGAUAAGUGCUGAAAGCAUCUAAGCACGAAACUUGCCCCGAGAUGAGUUCUCCCUGACCCUUUAAGGGUCCUGAAGGAACGUUGA